CACCACUGGAGUGGGUUGUACCAGAAGCAGGUAGCCUAACCGCAAGGGGGGCGCCUACCACGGUGAGAUUCAUGACUGGGGUG
This 83-nucleotide ribosomal RNA is filed under the name uncultured bacterium. RNAcentral's name for it is "partial 16S ribosomal RNA". The record is from RNAcentral.